This 558-nucleotide ribosomal RNA is filed under the name uncultured bacterium. RNAcentral's name for it is "partial 16S ribosomal RNA". It matches the Rfam family "Bacterial small subunit ribosomal RNA", at positions 355 to 915 of the family's 1533-position model. The record is from RNAcentral.
UAAGGAAUAUUGGACAAUGGACGCAAGUCUGAUCCAGCCAUGCCGCGUGAAGGAUGACUGCCCUCUGGGUUGUAAACUUCUUUUAUAGGGGAAGAAAGUUAUUUUUUAGGAUAUUUGACGGUACCCUAUGAAUAAGCACCGGCUAACUCCGUGCCAGCAGCCGCGGUAAUACGGAGGGUGCAAGCGUUAUCCGGAUUCACUGGGUUUAAAGGGUGCGUAGGCGGGUAUGUAAGUCAGUGGUGAAAUACCGGAGCUUAACUUCGGAACUGCCAUUGAUACUAUAUAUCUUGAAUAUUGUGGAGGUAAGCGGAAUAUGUCAUGUAGCGGUGAAAUGCUUAGAGAUGACAUAGAACACCGAUUGCGAAGGCAGCUUGCUACGCAAAUAUUGACGCUGAGGCACGAAAGCGUGGGGAUCAAACAGGAUUAGAUACCCUGGUAGUCCACGCCCUAAACGAUGAUUACUCGACAUUAGCGAUACACAGUUAGUGUCUGAGCGAAAGCAUUAAGUAAUCCACCUGGGAAGUACGACCGCAAGGUUGAAACUCAAAUGAAUUGACG